This 497-nucleotide ribosomal RNA is filed under the name uncultured bacterium. RNAcentral describes it as "partial 16S ribosomal RNA". It matches the Rfam family "Bacterial small subunit ribosomal RNA", at positions 28 to 507 of the family's 1533-position model. The record is from RNAcentral.
GAUGAACGCUGGCGGCGUGCCUAAUACAUGCAAGUCGAGCGAACAGACGAGGAGCUUGCUCCUCUGACGUUAGCGGCGGACGGGUAAGUAACACGUGGAUAACCUACCUAUAAGACUGGGAUAACUUCGGGAAACCGGAGCUAAUACCGGAUAAUAUAUUGAACCGCAUGGUUCAAUAGUGAAAGACGGUUUUGCUGUCACUUAUAGAUGGAUCCGCGCCGCAUUAGCUAGUUGGUAAGGUAACGGCUUACCAAGGCAACGAUUCGUAGCCGACCUGAGAGGGUGAUCGGCCACACUGGAACUGGGACACGGUCCAGACUCCUACGGGAGGCAGCAGUAGGGAAUCUUCCGCCAUGGGCGAAAGCCUGACGGAGCAACGCCGCGUGAGUGAUGAAGGUCUUCGGAUCGUAAAACUCUGUUAUUAGGGAAGAACAAAUGUGUAAGUAACUAUGCACGUCUUGACGGUACCUAAUCAGAAAGCCACGGCUAACUACGUG